RNAcentral lists this transfer RNA (62 nucleotides) under Plateumaris sericea. RNAcentral describes it as "tRNA-Val". The record is from RNAcentral. Lineage: Eukaryota; Metazoa; Arthropoda; Insecta; Coleoptera; Chrysomelidae.
CAAAUUAGAGCUUGAUAAGCAUUUUAUUUACAUUAAAAAGAUAAUAAUUUUAUUUAAUUUGA